AAAAAAAAUGUGAUUUUUUUUUAAAUUGGCUUUUUUCGAAAAUAAAAAAAAAACGACUUUUCCCGAAAAUAGAAAAAAUAUAGAUUUUUUCCGGAAUAAUGAAAUCGAUUUUUUUAUUAAAAAGUUUAGUUUUAUUUGAAACAAAAUCGAUUUUUUAUGAAAUUAAAAAAGUCGGCUUUUUUGAAAAAAAAAAUUCAUGAAAAUAAAAAAUAAUAAUUUUUUCUUUAAAAAAAAACAAAAUUUUCUUUAAAAAAUCAAUUUUAAAAAAUGAUGGGGCCUUAAGGCCUCAAUUGAAUUUUAUGGGCCUUUAUUUUAGGGGCCUCAUAUAUUUAAGGGCUCAUUUAUUUUUUAAAUUUUGGGCCCCCUAUAUUUUUGGGGCCUUAAAAAUUAGGCCCUGGCCCCCUAAAUUGACACC
This 415-nucleotide long non-coding RNA is filed under the name Lathyrus oleraceus (garden pea). RNAcentral's name for it is "Pisum sativum (pea) long non-coding RNA (PSAT_LNC000981)". Lineage: Eukaryota; Viridiplantae; Streptophyta; Magnoliopsida; Fabales; Fabaceae. The record is from RNAcentral.